AAGCAUAGGAUGAAUAACUCGGAUUCCCCUUCAGGACAUCAAAACGGAUGAUGCAAGUUUGAGUUUCUGAUGCA
Molecule: small nucleolar RNA, 74 nt
Organism: Elaeis guineensis (African oil palm)
Lineage: Eukaryota; Viridiplantae; Streptophyta; Magnoliopsida; Arecales; Arecaceae
Product: small nucleolar RNA snoR60
Source: RefSeq, a predicted model, not a curated record